This 72-nucleotide transfer RNA is filed under the name Marmota marmota marmota (Alpine marmot). It matches the Rfam family "tRNA". From Rfam's summary of the family: Transfer RNA (tRNA) molecules are approximately 80 nucleotides in length. Their secondary structure includes four short double-helical elements and three loops (D, anti-codon, and T loops). RNAcentral also lists the same sequence under 1 other name. Lineage: Eukaryota; Metazoa; Chordata; Mammalia; Rodentia; Sciuridae. The record is from Rfam by way of RNAcentral.
UGGGUUGUAGCUCAGUGGUAGAGUGCUUACAUAGCAUGUGUGAGGCACUGAGUUUGAUCCUCAGCAUCACAU